Molecule: ribosomal RNA, 497 nt
Filed under: uncultured bacterium
Lineage: Bacteria
Description: partial 16S ribosomal RNA
Rfam family: Bacterial small subunit ribosomal RNA
Source: RNAcentral
GAUGAACGCUGGCGGCGUGCCUAAUACAUGCAAGUCGAGCGAACAGACGAGGAGCUUGCUCCUCUGACGUUAGCGGCGGACGGGUGAGUAACACGUGGAUAACCUACCUAUAAGACUGGGAUAACUUCGGGAAACCGGAGCUAAUACCGGAUAAUAUAUUGAGCCGCAUGGUUCAAUAGUGAAAGACGGUUUUGCUGUCACUUAUAGAUGGAUCCGCGCCGCAUUAGCUAGUUGGUAAGGUAACGGCUUACCAAGGCAACGAUGCGUAGCCGACCUGAGAGGGCGACCGGCCACACUGGAACUGAGACACGGUCCAGACUCCUACGGGAGGCAGCAGUAGGGAAUCUUCCGCAAUGGGCGAAAGCUUGACGGAGCAACGCCGCGUGAGUGAUGAAGGUCUUCGGAUCGUAAAACUCUGUUAUUAGGGAAGAACAAAUGUGUAAGUAACUAUGCACGUCUUGACGGUACCUAAUCAGAAAGCCACGGCUAACUACGUG